CGAGUGCGACGGGUGAGUAAUACGUAGGUAUCUGCCCCGUAGUGGGGGAUAACCCGGGGAAACCCGGGCUAAUACCGCAUACGCUCUUUUAUCGUUGAGAUAGGAGAGGAAAGCGAGGGACCGAAAGGCCUCGCGCUAGAGGAUGAGCCUACGUCCGAUUAGCUAGUUGGUAGGGUAAAGGCCUACCAAGGCGACGAUCGGUAGCUGGUCUGAGAGGAUGGCCAGCCACACUGGGACUGAGACACGGCCCAGACUCCUACGGGAGGCAGCAGUGGGGAAUAUUGGACAAUGGGGGAAACCCUGAUCCAGCGAUGCCGCGUGGGUGAAGAAGGCCUGCGGGUUGUAAAGCCCUUUCAGUGGGGAAGAAAAACGGGGUGUGAACAGCGCCUCGUCUUGACGUUACCCACAGAAGAAGCACCGG
This 421-nucleotide ribosomal RNA is filed under the name uncultured bacterium. Its description in RNAcentral is "bacterial SSU rRNA". It matches the Rfam family "Bacterial small subunit ribosomal RNA", at positions 94 to 496 of the family's 1533-position model. The record is from RNAcentral.